AACAGAAAAGGGGAGGCAGGUCUGUGUCUCCUGCGUUCGGAGGAACAUUGAGAUAUAGCAAAAAAAUCAAUGGCCAAGAUAUCGUUUCGUUCGUCAUCUUUUUUUAUUGGUGAUUCGAUUGUUGCUCGUCCACAU
Small nucleolar RNA from Carya illinoinensis, 135 nucleotides. RefSeq annotates it as small nucleolar RNA snoR111. Lineage: Eukaryota; Viridiplantae; Streptophyta; Magnoliopsida; Fagales; Juglandaceae. The record is from RefSeq and is a predicted model, not a curated record. The transcript has a single exon.